CAGGUUGCCCCACAAUUUCUUGUAUUAUUGGGAAUUUUAGCAUUGAACAAGCUUUAUUGGAUUUGGGUGCUAGUGUUAAUUUAUUGCCUUACUCGGUUUAUGAGCAAUUGGGUCUUGGUGAAUUAAAACCCACCUCAAUAACAUUGCAAUGGACUGACUGUUCAAUCAAAAUCCCAAGAGGUAUGGUGGAAGAUGUGCUGGUUCAGGUAGACAAAUUUUAUUUUUCAGUUGAUUUUAUAGUUUUGGAUACUGAACUAGUUAUAUAUUCUAAUUCUCAAAUUCAUGUUAUUCUUGGAAGACCAUUUCUUGCUACAUCUAAUGCUCAUAUAAAUUGCAGGAAUGGACUUAUGCAACUAUCAUAUGGGAACAUGACAUUGGAGCUCAACAUAUGCAACAUAUGCAAGCAGCCCGCAAACAAUGAAGAUGUCGACAAAGAAGUUUACAUGAUUGAGACAAUUGUUCAAAAUUUCUUUAAUUCUUCUUUUUCUUAUGAUCCAUUGCAAAUUUGUUUAGUAAAUAGGGAUUGUAAUUUUACACAAGAUUUUGAAGUACAAUAUCUUCGUUCUUUGUUUGAUUCUGCGCAGGUACAAGAACAUAAUGGUUGGAUACCAAAAUAUGAGGAGCUGCCAACUGUGAGAGAUGAGACAAAAUCAUCAAGAGAAGAAGCCCAAAAUGUGAAUUGAAGCCUCUUCCUGCUGAACUUAAAUAUGCUUUUUUGGGAGAGGAUGAGACCUAUCCUGUGGUAAUAUCUUCUAAACUAGAGCUUUUGCAUGAAGGUAUGUUACUUAAAGUUUUGAAAGAUCAUAGGACUGCUAUUGGAUGGACUUUAUCUGAUAUUAAAGGUAUUAGUCCUUUGGUUUGCACACACCAAAUUUUUCUUGAAGAAGAUGCUAAACCAAUUAGGCAGGCUCAAUGUAGACUUAACCCAACAAUGAAAGAAGUUGUACAAAAAGAAGUACUUAAACUUUGGGAUGCAGGUAUCAUAUAUCCAAUUUCUGAUAGCAAAUGGAUGAGUCCUACACAGGUUGUUCCUAAAAAAUCAGGAGUCACAGUAGUUGAAAAUGAUACUGGAUGGAGAAUGUGUAUUGAUUAUCGUAAAUUGAACUCAGUCACAAGAAAGGAUCAUUUUCCUUUACCAUUUCUUGACCAAAUUUUGGAAAGAGUUGCAGGGCAUAUGUAUUAUUGUUUUUCAGAUGGUUAUUCAGGAUAUUAUCAAAUUGAGAUUUCAUUAAAAGAUCAAGAAAAAACAACUUUUACUUGCCCAUUUUGAACUUUCGCUUUUAGAAAAAUGCCUUUUGGUCUUUGCAAUGCACCAGCUACAUUCCAACGUUGCAUGAUAAGCAUAUUUAGUGACAUGGUAGAAAAAUAUUUACAAGUUUUCAUGGAUGACGUUACUGUGUUUGGUGAUUCAUUUUCUGAUUGUUUAUCUAACUUGGAGAAUGUUCUUAUCAAGUGUAAAGAGAAAAAUUUGAUGCUUAAUUAGGAGAAAUGCCAAUUCAUGGUCACAUCUGGCAUAGUACUUAGACACAUUGUUUCUCACAAAGGAAUUGAAGUGGAUAAGUCAAAAAUUGAUUUAAUUGCUAAUCUGCCUAUUCCUAAAACUGUUAAAGAUAUUAUAUCUUUUUAGGACAUGCAGGUUCUACCGGAGAUUCAUACAAAAUUUUAGUGCAAUUGCAAGGCCAUUAAAUAAUCUCUUGGAGAAAGAUGCUAAAUUUGAUUGGAAUUAUGCAUGUCAAGAAGCAUUUGAGAACUUGAGUAAAAUGCUAACAUCAACUCCUAUAAUGCAGCCCCUAUAUUGGUCCAUGCCAUUUGAAAUAAUGUGUGAUGCUAGUGAUGGUGCUAUUGGGGCAGUGCUAGGCCAAAGAAAAGACAAGAAGCCUGUUGUUAUCUGCUACAUCAUUCGGCCUUGAAGUAUUUAUUGACAAAAGCCAAAUCACGAUUAAUUAGAUAGAUUUUGCUUCUCCAAGAAUUUGAUCUUACAAUCAAGGACAAGAAAGGAGUGGAGAAUGUUGUUGCAGACCAUCUUUCUAGGAUAUCUUUUGAGGAGCCUUCUGAAUAUUUGCCUAUAAAAGAUUCAUUUCCUGAUGAACAAUUGUUUGGUGUUUCUAAAUUGCCAUGGUUUGCUAACAUUGUGAAUUUUCUUGCUACAGGUCUUAUCCCACCUCACUGGACCUCACAAGAGAAAAAGAAAUUUAUGGUUGAGGUGAGAAAAUUCUUUUGGGAUGACCCGUAUCUCUUCAAAUAUUGUCCCGAUCAGGUAAUCCGUAGAUGUGUUCCUGAUGAUGAAAUAUUUAGUGUCAUAUCUUUUUGUCAUUUUGAGGCUUGUGGAGGUCCCUUUUCUCCGAAAAAGACUUCAGCCAAAAUUCUUCAAUGUGGUUUUUAUUGGCCCAGACUUUUCAAAGAUGUGUAUGAAUUUUGCAAGACUUGUCCAAGUUGUCAAAAGUUGGGAAAAAUUACUCGACGUAAUAUGAUGCCUCUUAACCCAAUUUUAAUUAUUGAAAUUUUUUACUGUUGGGGCAUUGAUUUUAUAGGUCCUUUUCCUCCAUCUUUUGGUUACUUAUAUAUCCUUAUUGCUGUGGGUUAUGUUUCAAAAUGGAUUGAGGCCAUACCAUGUCGAAAGAAUGAUUAUAAAAUUAUUUUGAAAUUUUUGAAAGAAAAUGUAUUGUCCAGGUUUGGUACUCCUAGAGCGAUCAUCAGUGAUGGAGGAUCACAUUUUUGCAACCGACCAUUUGAAGCUUUGAUGAAAAAAUAUGGGAUAACCCAUAAGAUUCCACUCCAUACCAUCCACAGACAAAUGGCCAAGCAGAACUUGCAAACAGGGAAAUCAAGCAAAUUUUGGAAAAGACGGUGAAUCCAACCCAGAAGGAUUGGUCAUUGAGACUAACUGAUGCUUUGUGGGCAUACUGUACUUCAUACAAAUCACCUCUUGUCUUGGAGAUGCAGGGUACCUUGAGAAAACUCCAAUUGAAUGAACUUGAGGAAGUCAGGAAUGAUGCAUAUGAGAACUCACGAAUUUACAGAGAACGUACUAAAGUUUUGCAUGAUAAAAAUAUUUUGAGGAAAAAUUUUGAGCCUUCUCAACUUGUUCUUUUGUAUAAUUCUAGACUUCAUUUGUUUCCUGGAAAAUUAAGAACUAAAUGG
This is a long non-coding RNA of Prunus persica (peach), 3141 nucleotides long. RefSeq lists it as uncharacterized. The transcript is spliced from 3 exons. The record is from RefSeq and is a predicted model, not a curated record. NCBI's taxonomy places the organism in Eukaryota, Viridiplantae, Streptophyta, Magnoliopsida, Rosales, Rosaceae.